This 484-nucleotide ribosomal RNA is filed under the name uncultured bacterium. RNAcentral's name for it is "partial 16S ribosomal RNA". It matches the Rfam family "Bacterial small subunit ribosomal RNA", at positions 30 to 507 of the family's 1533-position model. The record is from RNAcentral.
AUUGAACGCUGGCGGCAGGCCUAACACAUGCAAGUCGAGCGGAUGAAGGGAGCUUGCUCCUGGAUUCAGCGGCGGACGGGUGAGUAAUGCCUAGGAAUCUGCCUGGUAGUGGGGGAUAACGUCCGGAAACGGGCGCUAAUACCGCAAACGUCCUGAGGGAGAAAGUGGGGGAUCUUCGGACCUCACGCUAUCAGAUGAGCCUAGGUCGGAUUAGCUAGUUGGUGGGGUAAAGGCCUACCAAGGCGACGAUCCGUAACUGGUCUGAGAGGAUGAUCAGUCACACUGGAACUGAGACACGGUCCAGACUCCUACGGGAGGCAGCAGUGGGGAAUAUUGGACAAUGGGCGAAAGCCUGAUCCAGCCAUGCCGCGUGUGUGAAGAAGGUCUUCGGAUUGUAAAGCACUUUAAGUUGGGAGGAAGGGCAGUAAGUUAAUACCUUGCUGUUUUGACGUUACCAACAGAAUAAGCACCGGCUAACUUCGUG